GAUAAACGCUGGCGGCGCACAUAAGACAUGCAAGUCGAACGGACUUAACUCGAAGUUUACUUUGAGAGCGGUUAGUGGCGGACUGGUGAGUAACGCGUGAGCAACCUGCCUAUUAGAGGGGAAUAACAGUGAGAAAUCACUGCUAAUACCGCAUAUGCUUACACUAUCACAUGAUAGAGUGAGGAAAGGAGCAAUCCACUAGUAGAUGGGCUCGCGUCUGAUUAGCUAGUUGGUGAGGUAACGGCCCACCAAGGCAACGAUCGGUAGCCGGACUGAGAGGUUGAACGGCCACAUUGGGACUGAGACACGGCCCAG
Molecule: ribosomal RNA, 315 nt
Filed under: uncultured bacterium
Lineage: Bacteria
Description: bacterial SSU rRNA
Rfam family: Bacterial small subunit ribosomal RNA
Source: RNAcentral